Molecule: ribosomal RNA, 253 nt
Filed under: uncultured bacterium
Lineage: Bacteria
Description: partial 16S ribosomal RNA
Rfam family: Bacterial small subunit ribosomal RNA
Source: RNAcentral
UACAGAGGUCCCAAGCGUUACUGAGAAUCACUGGGUUUAAAGGGUGCGUAGGUGGUCCGUUAAGUCAGUUGUGAAAUCCCCGGGCUCAACCUGGGAACUGCAUUUGUGACUGUAGAGCUGGAGUGCGGCAGAGGGGGAUGGAAUUCCGCGUGUAGCAGUGAAAUGCGUAGAUAUGCGGAGGAACACCGAUGGCGAAGGCAAUCCCCUGGGCCUGCACUGACGCUCAUGCACGAAAGCGUGGGGAGCAAACAGG